RNAcentral lists this ribosomal RNA (346 nucleotides) under uncultured bacterium. RNAcentral's name for it is "bacterial SSU rRNA". It matches the Rfam family "Bacterial small subunit ribosomal RNA", at positions 8 to 334 of the family's 1533-position model. The record is from RNAcentral.
AGGGUUUGAUCCUGGCUCAGGAUGAACGCUGGCGGCGUGCUUAACACAUGCAAGUCGAACGAAGCACUGGAGAACGGAGAUUUCGGUUGAAGUUUUCCUUUGACUGAGUGGCGGACGGGUGAGUAACGCGUGGGUAACCUGCCCUGUACAGGGGGAUAACAGUUAGAAAUGACUGCUAAUACCGCAUAAGCGCACAGCUUCGCAUGGAGCGGUGUGAAAAACUGAGGUGGUACAGGAUGGGCCCGCGUUGGAUUAGCUAGUUGGCGGGGUAACGGCCCACCAAGGCGACGAUCCAUAGCCGGCCUGAGAGGGUGAACGGCCACAUUGGGACUGAGACACGGCCCAA